GCUCAGGACGAACGCUUGCGGCGUGCCUAAGAAAUGCAAGUCGAGCGGUCUUUCCGCAAGGGGAGACAGCGGCGAACGGUCGCGUAACACGUAAGCAACCUGCCCCGAAGACCGGGACAACAUCUCGAAAGGGGUGCUAAUACCGGAUGUGGCCCCGGACCGGCAUCGGUCUGGGAUUAAAGCCUGUGCAGGUGAAAGCCUGUACAAGGGCUUCGGGAGGGGCUUGCGGCCUAUCAGCUAGUUGGUGGGGUAACGGCCUACCAAGGCGACGACGGGUAGCUGGUCUGAGAGGACGUCCAGCCGGACUGGGACUGAGAGACGGCCCAGACUCCUACGGGGGGCAGCAAUUAGGAAUCUUGCGCAAUGGGCGAAAGCCUGACGCAGCGACGCCGCGUGGAGGAGGAAGUCCUUCGGGAUGUAAACUCCUUUUGAGUGGGAAGAAACAAAUGACGGUACCACUUGAAUAAGCCCCGGCUAACUACGUGCCAGCAGCCGCGGUAAUACGUAGGGGGCGAGCGUUGUCCGAAGUUACUGGGCGUAAAGCGCGCGUAGGCGGGUUGGUAAGUGAGAGGUGAAAGGCUGGGGCUCAACUCCAGCAGUGCCUCUCAUACUGCCAGUCUUGAGGGCGGUAGAGAGAAGUGGAAUGGCUGGUGUAGCGGUGAAAUGCGUAGAUAUCAGUCGGAACACCGGUGGCGAAGGCGGCUUCUUGGGCCGUACCUGACGCUGAGGCGCGAAAGCCAGGGGAGCGAACGGGAUUAGAUACCCCGGUAGUCCUGGCCGUAAACGAUGGAUACUAGGUGUCGGGGGUAUCGACCCCUCCGGUGCCGCAGCUAACGCAAUAAGUAUCCCGCCUGGGGAGUACGGCCCGCAAGGUUGAAACU
RNAcentral lists this ribosomal RNA (881 nucleotides) under uncultured bacterium. Its description in RNAcentral is "bacterial SSU rRNA". It matches the Rfam family "Bacterial small subunit ribosomal RNA", at positions 22 to 901 of the family's 1533-position model. The record is from RNAcentral.